UUAAGCGACUAAGCGUACACGGUGGAUGCCCUGGCAGUCAGAGGCGAUGAAGGACGUGCUAAUCUGCGAUAAGCGUCGGUGAGGUGAUAUGAACCGUUAUAACCGGCGAUUUCCGAAUGGGGAAACCCAGUGUGUUUCGACACACUAUCAUUAACUGAAUCCAUAGGUUAAUGAGGCGAACCGGGGGAACUGAAACAUCUAAGUACCCCGAGGAAAAGAAAUCAACCGAGAUUCCCCCAGUAGCGGCGAGCGAACGGGGAGGAGCCCAGAGCCUGAAUCAGUGUGUGUGUUAGUGGAAGCGUCUGGAAAGGCGUGCGAUACAGGGUGACAGCCUCGUACACAAAAAUGCACAUAUUGUGAGCUCGAUGAGUAGGGCGGGACACGUGGUAUCCUGUCUGAAUAUGGGGGGACCAUCCUCCAAGGCUAAAUACUCCUGACUGACCGAUAGUGAACCAGUACCGUGAGGGAAAGGCGAAAAGAACCCCGGCGAGGGGAGUGAAAAAGAACCUGAAACCGUGUACGUACAAGCAGUGGGAGCCUCUUAAUGGGGUGACUGCGUACCUUUUGUAUAAUGGGUCAGCGACUUAUAUUCUGUAGCAAGGUUAACCGAAUAGGGGAGCCGAAGGGAAACCGAGUCUUAACUGGGCGUUAAGUUGCAGGGUAUAGACCCGAAACCCGGUGAUCUAGCCAUGGGCAGGUUGAAGGUUGGGUAACACUAACUGGAGGACCGAACCGACUAAUGUUGAAAAAUUAGCGGAUGACUUGUGGCUGGGGGUGAAAGGCCAAUCAAACCGGGAGAUAGCUGGUUCUCCCCGAAAGCUAUUUAGGUAGCGCCUCGUGAAUUCAUCUCCGGGGGUAGAGCACUGUUUCGGCAAGGGGGUCAUCCCGACUUACCAACCCGAUGCAAACUGCGAAUACCGGAGAAUGUUAUCACGGGAGACACACGGCGGGUGCUAACGUCCGUCGUGAAGAGGGAAACAACCCAGACCGCCAGCUAAGGUCCCAAAGUCAUGGUUAAGUGGGAAACGAUGUGGGAAGGCCCAGACAGCCAGGAUGUUGGCUUAGAAGCAGCCAUCAUUUAAAGAAAGCGUAAUAGCUCACUGGUCGAGUCGGCCUGCGCGGAAGAUGUAACGGGGCUAAACCAUGCACCGAAGCUGCGGCAGCGACACUAUGUGUUGUUGGGUAGGGGAGCGUUCUGUAAGCCUGUGAAGGUGGCCUGUGAGGGUUGCUGGAGGUAUCAGAAGUGCGAAUGCUGACAUAAGUAACGAUAAAGCGGGUGAAAAGCCCGCUCGCCGGAAGACCAAGGGUUCCUGUCCAACGUUAAUCGGGGCAGGGUGAGUCGACCCCUAAGGCGAGGCCGAAAGGCGUAGUCGAUGGGAAACAGGUUAAUAUUCCUGUACUUGGUGUUACUGCGAAGGGGGGACGGAGAAGGCUAUGUUGGCCGGGCGACGGUUGUCCCGGUUUAAGCGUGUAGGCUGGUUUUCCAGGCAAAUCCGGAAAACCAAGGCUGAGGCGUGAUGACGAGGCACUACGGUGCUGAAGUGACAAAUGCCCUGCUUCCAGGAAAAGCCUCUAAGCAUCAGGUAACAUCAAAUCGUACCCAAAACCGACACAGGUGGUCAGGUAGAGAAUACCAAGGCGCUUGAGAGAACUCGGGUGAAGGAACUAGGCAAAAUGGUGCCGUAACUUCGGGAGAAGGCACGCUGAUAUGUAGGUGAAGCGACUCGCUCGUGGAGCUGAAAUCAGUCGAAGAUACCAGCUGGCUGCAACUGUUUAUUAAAAACACAGCACUGUGCAAACACGAAAGUGGACGUAUACGGUGUGACGCCUGCCCGGUGCCGGAAGGUUAAUUGAUGGGGUUAGCGGUAACGCGAAGCUCUUGAUCGAAGCCCCGGUAAACGGCGGCCGUAACUAUAACGGUCCUAAGGUAGCGAAAUUCCUUGUCGGGUAAGUUCCGACCUGCACGAAUGGCGUAAUGAUGGCCAGGCUGUCUCCACCCGAGACUCAGUGAAAUUGAACUCGCUGUGAAGAUGCAGUGUACCCGCGGCAAGACGGAAAGACCCCGUGAACCUUUACUAUAGCUUGACACUGAACAUUGAGCCUUGAUGUGUAGGAUAGGUGGGAGGCUUUGAAGUGUGGACGCCAGUCUGCAUGGAGCCGACCUUGAAAUACCACCCUUUAAUGUUUGAUGUUCUAACGUUGGCCCGUAAUCCGGGUUGCGGACAGUGUCUGGUGGGUAGUUUGACUGGGGCGGUCUCCUCCUAAAGAGUAACGGAGGAGCACGAAGGUUGGCUAAUCCUGGUCGGACAUCAGGAGGUUAGUGCAAUGGCAUAAGCCAGCUUGACUGCGAGCGUGACGGCGCGAGCAGGUGCGAAAGCAGGUCAUAGUGAUCCGGUGGUUCUGAAUGGAAGGGCCAUCGCUCAACGGAUAAAAGGUACUCCGGGGAUAACAGGCUGAUACCGCCCAAGAGUUCAUAUCGACGGCGGUGUUUGGCACCUCGAUGUCGGCUCAUCACAUCCUGGGGCUGAAGUAGGUCCCAAGGGUAUGGCUGUUCGCCAUUUAAAGUGGUACGCGAGCUGGGUUUAGAACGUCGUGAGACAGUUCGGUCCCUAUCUGCCGUGGGCGCUGGAGAACUGAGGGGGGCUGCUCCUAGUACGAGAGGACCGGAGUGGACGCAUCACUGGUGUUCGGGUUGUCAUGCCAAUGGCACUGCCCGGUAGCUAAAUGCGGAAGAGAUAAGUGCUGAAAGCAUCUAAGCACGAAACUUGCCCCGAGAUGAGUUCUCCCUGACUCCUUGAGGGUCCUGAAGGAACGUUGAAGACGACGACGUUGAUAGGCCGGGUGUGUAAGCGCAGCGAUGCGUUGAGCUAACCGGUACUAAUGAACCGUGAGGCUUAACCUU
This 2902-nucleotide ribosomal RNA is filed under the name Escherichia coli HVH 159 (4-5818141). Its description in RNAcentral is "bacterial LSU rRNA". It matches the Rfam family "Bacterial large subunit ribosomal RNA". Lineage: Bacteria; Pseudomonadati; Pseudomonadota; Gammaproteobacteria; Enterobacterales; Enterobacteriaceae. The record is from RNAcentral. RNAcentral also lists the same sequence under 1 other name.